This 1085-nucleotide long non-coding RNA is filed under the name Ficedula albicollis (Collared flycatcher). Its description in RNAcentral is "lncRNA (ENSFALG00000026120.1)". Lineage: Eukaryota; Metazoa; Chordata; Aves; Passeriformes; Muscicapidae. The record is from RNAcentral.
CAAAAACUUCCUUGCAGAUAGCGAGGACUUGUUCCUUGACAGCCUUUAUCAUGGCAAGACGAACUGCUGAGGUAUUAUGAGUGCAAAAGAUUGAAUCUGACUGUGGGGGAAUGUUUAAGUUUUCCUAGUUAGUUAAAACAGCCGUAGGGCAUCUUGGAUUGGGUUCAGCUUCAUAGCUUGGACACAGAUCUCAGUUAUCCUCUAUUCUUGGCACUGAUCUUUGCUUGCCUGACAGCUUAGUGGUGGGAAUCCAGGAUCUUUGACUACAUAAAUCUGUUCCUACAUAGGUGUCACCUCAUUCUGCAGUUGCAUGCUCAGCAUUCAAGUGUUUCCCUUGGUCGUUUCUCACUGGCAGCUGUUUCUUCCCUGUGGGGAGCAGAUGAGCCAUGGCAAGCCAUUAUCAGCCCUCUAAGAUGAUGUUGAGUCAGCCUCGAAAUCAGCCCUGAAGAUAACUCUGGUCUUGUGCAGCCAGCGGCUUGGAUCUUUUCCUGUUUGCCAGAAUAUUGUCCCAGCAAGGCAGUCUCACCCUUAUCAACACAAACUCACAUGAAUCCCCUGGGAUAUGCACGUGGAGCUGACGUGUCCCUGGGAAUAAGGGUUGGAUUCUCUCGUGGCUGACACUUCACUCUGAGAGAGAACUUCUGGUUUCAAAAUUUUUAUUGGUGGCAACGAGUGAGACAGGAGAAACAAAAUCUGAAUUCUGGAUUAUUUGUGAGGCUGACAGCCAGGCUAAAAAUACCUUUCCUGCUCAGCAACACAGAUGAGUGGUCAAAUAAACAAGCUUUUCAACCCCAGCAUUUGCCUGCCCACCAGCCUCAGCAUCAAACGAGGAACAUGCCCACGUGCAGGGGAGGACUGCAGUGCAGGCACCAGGGUCAGAGGGCCAUGCUCAGGUAAACCCUGUUCAGCUCUCCUUAAAGGUGGCCCCCAAAGUCACGGUGGGCAACUCCACAAGCUCUGGCUUGUGCUGCCUGUUUGAGGUGUCGGUGCCCAGCAGGAGGAGCAGGGUGUGAGGGUGCCUUGGGCCAUGCCUGGGGUGUGUGGAGCGUGGUGGUGACGGGACCUGUCACUGCAGAGUCCUCCUC